This 506-nucleotide ribosomal RNA is filed under the name uncultured bacterium. Its description in RNAcentral is "partial 16S ribosomal RNA". It matches the Rfam family "Bacterial small subunit ribosomal RNA", at positions 29 to 523 of the family's 1533-position model. The record is from RNAcentral.
AGUGAACGCUGGCGGUAGGCCUAACACAUGCAAGUCGAACGGCAGCACAGAGGAGCUUGCUCCUUGGGUGGCGAGUGGCGGACGGGUGAGGAAUACAUCGGAAUCUACUCUGUCGUGGGGGAUAACGUAGGGAAACUUACGCUAAUACCGCAUACGACCUACGGGUGAAAGCAGGGGAUCUUCGGACCUUGCGCGAUUGAAUGAGCCGAUGUCGGGUUAGCUAGUUGGCGGGGUAAAGGCCCACCAAGGCGACGAUCCGUAGCUGGUCUGAGGGGAUGAUCAGCCACCCUGGAACUGAGACACGGUCCCGACUCCUACGGGAGGCAGCAGUGGGAAAUAUUGGACAAUGGGCGCAAGCCUGCUUCAGCCAUACCGCGUGGGUGAAGAAGGCCUUCGGGUUGUAAAGCCCUUUUGUUGGGAAAGAAAUCCAUCUGGUUAAUACCCGGGUGGGAUGACGGUACCCAAAGAAUAAGCACCGGCUAACUUCGUGCCAGCCGCCGCAGUAA